AGAGUUUGAUCAUGGCUCAGGACGAACGCUGGCGGCGUGCCUAAUACAUGCAAGUAGAACGCUGAAGAGAGGAGCUUGCUCUUCUUGGAUGAGUUGCGAACGGGUGAGUAACGCGUAGGUAACCUGCCUUGUAGCGGGGGAUAACUAUUGGAAACGAUAGCUAAUACCGCAUAACAAUGGAUGACCCAUGUCAUUUAUUUGAAAGGGGCAAAUGCUCCACUACAAGAUGGACCUGCGUUGUAUUAGCUAGUAGGUGAGGUAACGGCUCACCUAGGCGACGAUACAUAGCCGACCUGAGAGGGUGAUCGGCCACACUGGGACUGAGACACGGCCCAGACUCCUACGGGAGGCAGCAGUAGGGAAUCUUCGGCAAUGGGGGCAACCCUGACCGAGCAACGCCGCGUGAGUGAAGAAGGUUUUCGGAUCGUAAAGCUCUGUUGUAAGUCAAGAACGAGUGUGAGAGUGGAAAGUUCACACUGUGACGGUAGCUUACCAGAAAGGGACGGCUAACUACGUGCCAGCAGCCGCGGUAAUACGUAGGUCCCGAGCGUUGUCCGGAUUUAUUGGGCGUAAAGCGAGCGCAGGCGGUUUGAUAAGUCUGAAGUUAAAGGCUGUGGCUCAACCAUAGUUCGCUUUGGAAACUGUCAAACUUGAGUGCAGAAGGGGAGAGUGGAAUUCCAUGUGUAGCGGUGAAAUGCGUAGAUAUAUGGAGGAACACCGGUGGCGAAAGCGGCUCUCUGGUCUGUAACUGACGCUGAGGCUCGAAAGCGUGGGGAGCGAACAGGAUUAGAUACCCUGGUAGUCCACGCCGUAAACGAUGAGUGCUAGGUGUUGGAUCCUUUCCGGGAUUCAGUGCCGCAGCUAACGCAUUAAGCACUCCGCCUGGGGAGUACGACCGCAAGGUUGAAACUCAAAGGAAUUGACGGGGGCCCGCACAAGCGGUGGAGCAUGUGGUUUAAUUCGAAGCAACGCGAAGAACCUUACCAGGUCUUGACAUCCCGAUGCUAUUUCUAGAGAUAGAAAGUUACUUCGGUACAUCGGUGACAGGUGGUGCAUGGUUGUCGUCAGCUCGUGUCGUGAGAUGUUGGGUUAAGUCCCGCAACGAGCGCAACCCCUAUUGUUAGUUGCCAUCAUUCAGUUGGGCACUCUAGCGAGACUGCCGGUAAUAAACCGGAGGAAGGUGGGGAUGACGUCAAAUCAUCAUGCCCCCUAUGACCUGGGCUACACACGUGCUACAAUGGUUGGUACAACGAGUUGCGAGUCGGUGACGGCAAGCUAAUCUCUUAAAGCCAAUCUCAGUUCGGAUUGUAGGCUGCAACUCGCCUACAUGAAGUCGGAAUCGCUAGUAAUCGCGGAUCAGCACGCCGCGGUGAAUACGUUCCCGGGCCUUGUACACACCGCCCGUCACACCACGAGAGUUUGUAACACCCGAAGUCGGUGAGGUAACCUUUUGGAGCCAGCCGCCUAAGGUGGGAUAGAUGAUUGGGGUGAAGUCGUAACAAGGUA
This 1506-nucleotide ribosomal RNA is filed under the name metagenome. Its description in RNAcentral is "bacterial SSU rRNA". It matches the Rfam family "Bacterial small subunit ribosomal RNA". The record is from RNAcentral.